UACAUAGGGGGCCAGCGUUAUUCGGAAUUAUUGGGCGUAAAGGGCGCGUAGGCGGCUUUGCGUGUCUUUCGUGAAAUCCCUCGGCUCAACUGAGGACGUGCGGAAGAAACUGCAGGGCUGGAGUCCGGGAGAGGAGGGCGGAAUUCCCAGUGUAGCGGUGAAAUGCGUAGAUAUUGGGAGGAGCACCGGUGGCGAAGGCGGCCCUCUGGACCGGUACUGACGCUGAUGCGCGAAAGCGUGGGGAGCAAACGGG
Molecule: ribosomal RNA, 253 nt
Filed under: uncultured bacterium
Lineage: Bacteria
Description: partial 16S ribosomal RNA
Rfam family: Bacterial small subunit ribosomal RNA
Source: RNAcentral